AGGCACCUACGGGGGGCAGCAGUGAGGAAUAUUGGUCAAUGGCCGAGAGGCUGAACCAGCCAAGUCGCGUGAGGGAAGACGGUCCUAUGGAUUGUAAACCUCUUUUGUCGGGGAGCAAAGAGAUCACGUGUGGUCAAAAGCGAGAGUACCCGAAGAAAAAGCAUCGGCUAACUCCGUGCCAGCAGCCGCGGUAAUACGGAGGAUGCGAGCGUUAUCCGGAUUUAUUGGGUUUAAAGGGUGCGUAGGCGGGACGGUAAGUCCGCGGUAAAAAUGCGGAGCUCAACUCCGUCGAGCCGUUGAAACUG
This 305-nucleotide ribosomal RNA is filed under the name uncultured bacterium. Its description in RNAcentral is "bacterial SSU rRNA". It matches the Rfam family "Bacterial small subunit ribosomal RNA", at positions 333 to 635 of the family's 1533-position model. The record is from RNAcentral.